Zonotrichia leucophrys gambelii is the source of this 477-nucleotide long non-coding RNA. RefSeq lists it as uncharacterized. The record is from RefSeq and is a predicted model, not a curated record. The transcript has 4 exons. Lineage: Eukaryota; Metazoa; Chordata; Aves; Passeriformes; Passerellidae.
CAUUAUAGGUCACUGGAUCAAGCACACAGACCAGUGUGGAAGCAGGAAGCAGAAACAAGGAUUUCUCCUUGCUGAGAAUAAUAAAUGACCAUCACCACAGUCUUGUCAGUAGGCUGCCAAGGAGUGCAAUAUCCUGGGAAGGACAAUCUGAAUCUCACCAGGUGAAACCUUUUUUAAAGAUGCUUCAGUAAAUUACUUCAUCCAUCCCAAAGUUCUGUCAAGGGAAAAAUCUCAGCCUUCAUUUUGCUAUCAAUCACGAAUUGCCAUACUUCAGAAAGAAACUUAAGACUCAAAGAGAUCCUGCAGGUCUUUCUUCCUUACUGGAUGAAAUUGAACGAAAACAAGUUCCAGAGAGGACUCCAGAACAUCUCCAGCUUCCAGAUUGGAUUCAGUAACUGAUGACAUCUUAUUAGGUGUGAGAAUACUGUGUUGUUCCAUUCAUCAUUAUAAAUAAAGCAAUAUUUUUUACUUUCCAAA